RNAcentral lists this ribosomal RNA (1326 nucleotides) under Oestrus ovis (sheep bot fly). RNAcentral's name for it is "16S ribosomal RNA". The stretch from base 1074 to 1233 matches the Rfam family "Archaeal large subunit ribosomal RNA", at positions 2544 to 2703 of the family's 2987-position model. The record is from RNAcentral. Lineage: Eukaryota; Metazoa; Arthropoda; Insecta; Diptera; Oestridae.
UUAAUAUUUAUUUAUUUUAUUUAUUUGUUUAUUUAUUAAAUUAUUAAAAAUAAUUAUAUUAUGAAUUGUUUUAGUAUUUUUUAAAGAAAAAAUAAUUUUAAUUAUAGUGAAAUAGUAUUGUGAGAGAAAAUUGAAAUAAUUUGAAAAAUUAUUAGUUUAUAAGAAAAUUUUAUUUAUUGUACCUUGUGUAUCAGGGUUUAUUAAAUAAAGAUUAUGAAUAUUAAUUUUUUCGAUUUUAAAAGAGUUAAUAUAUUAUAAAAGUUAUUGUAAUAAAAUUAUUUUUAAUAAUAUAUUAGAAGUGAAAUGUUAUUCGGUUUUAAAGGUAUCUAGUUCUUUAAGAAAUAAAUUUAAUUUAGAAAUUUUAUAUUAUUUAGUUAAAUAGAUUAAUUAGAUGAAUAUUUAAUUUUAAUAUUUUAUGGGAUAAGCUAUAAAAUAGAUUAUUAUAAAUAAUUAGAUAGUAUAAUAAAUAUAAGCUUAGAAAUAGCUAUUAUUAGUAAAAAUGUUAUAAUUUAUAUUUUAGGAAAUAUUAUUUAAUAGAUUUUUAAUUAGUUAUUAAAGUAUUUGUUUUAAUUUUAAAAAUGAAGUAAUAAUGAUAUAAUUAGUAUAUAAGUUUGUAUAGAUAAAGAUAAAUGAAAAGUUUAUUUAAGGAAUUAGGCAAAAACAAUAUUCGCCUGUUUAACAAAAACAUGUCCUUUUGAAAUUUUUUUAAGGUUUGACCUGCCCACUGAUGUAUUAAAUGGCCGCAGUAUAUUAACUGUGCAAAGGUAGCAUAAUCAUUAGUCUUUUAAUUGGAGGCUAGAAUGAAUGGUUGGACGAGAUAUUGGCUGUUUCAUAUAAAUUUAAGAUAGAAUUUUAUUUUUUAGUAAAAAAGCUAAAAUAUUCUUAAAAGACGAGAAGACCCUAUAAAUCUUUAUAUUUAGGUUUUUAUAAUUAUAUAGAAAUUUUUAGUUAUAAUUAUUAGUAAUAUUUUAUUGGGGUGAUAUUAAAAUUUAAUUAACUUUUAAAUUGAAAGAAUCAUUAAUUUAUGAGGAAUUGAUCCGUUAAUAGCGAUUAAUAAUUUAAGUUACUUUAGGGAUAACAGCGUAAUUUUUUUGGAGAGUUCUUAUCGAUAAAAAAGAUUGCGACCUCGAUGUUGGAUUAAGAUAUAGGUUUAGGUGUAGUAGUUUAAGCUUUAAGUCUGUUCGACUUUUAAAAUCUUACAUGAUCUGAGUUCAAACCGGUGUAAGCCAGGUUGGUUUCUAUCUUUAAGUUUUUAAAGUAUUUUAGUACGAGAGGACCAAAUAUUUGAUAAAUAAUUAUUUAUAGAUUGAAUUUUAUUAAUAUAAG